RNAcentral lists this ribosomal RNA (600 nucleotides) under uncultured bacterium. RNAcentral's name for it is "bacterial SSU rRNA". It matches the Rfam family "Bacterial small subunit ribosomal RNA", at positions 91 to 684 of the family's 1533-position model. The record is from RNAcentral.
GUUGACGGCGGACGGGUGAGUUACACGUGAUACCUACCUUAUAAGACUGGGAUACUUCGGGAAACCGGAGCUAUACGGAUAUAUUUGAACCGCAUGGUUCAAUAGUGAAAGACGGUUUUGCUGUCACUUAUAGAUGGAUCCGCGCCGCAUUAGCUAGUUGGUAAGGUAACGGCUUACCAAGGCAACGAUGCGUAGCCGACCUGAGAGGGUGAUCGGCCACACUGGAACUGAGACACGGUCCAGACUCCUACGGGAGGCAGCAGUAGGGAAUCUUCCGCAAUGGGCGAAAGCCUGACGGAGCAACGCCGCGUGAGUGAUGAAGGUCUUCGGAUCGUAAAACUCUGUUAUUAGGGAAGAACAAAUGUGUAGUACUAUGCACGUCUUGACGGUACCUAAUCAGAAAGCCACGGCUAACUACGUGCCGGCAGCCGCGGUAAUACGUAGGUGGCAAGCGUUAUCCGGAAUUAUUGGGCGUAAAGCGCGCGUAGGCGGGUUUUUUAAGUUCUGAUUGGUUGGAAGCCCCACGGCUCAACCCGGUGGGAGGGGUCUUGGGAAAACCUGGAAAAAACUUUGGAGUUGGCAAAAAGGGAAAAGUGGGAA